GACCCGGUGCGACGUCGCAACGGCCGAUGGGACGUCCUGAACAUCGCCAUCAAUCCGGCCGCCUAAAAACGCUCUUGUCCUGGAGAUCAUCUUCAUCGAGGACGAGAACCAUUUCCGAGCCAUCGAACUCGCGGCUACCCCGAUUUGGCUCUGCGCGCGACGAAGACGAAGUGACCUUCGAAGUCCCGAAACUCUGCAGGACAUCAGUCUGCUCGUUCGGCUUUCGUCCUAAGCCAAACGCGUUUUGAGUGCAUGGCCCGCGGCGAGAGAUUAUCGCGGGCUUUCGACCGCGCCGCGCGUCUCAUCAGGCGGACAAAUAUCGCUGUAGCACUUUGACCUGCUGCAUGUUUUGAACCUUAAGCCGGAUAGGUUUCAAGGAAAUCAGACCGCUCCCCUGAUCGCGUCACCACCCUCCCAUCCCAGUAGACGACGGUAGCUUCGUUCUCGCUUGCUUCAUCAUGCUGAUGCGCGCCGCUUCAACAUCCCGCGCAUGCCCAACCCACUGGCUCCGCCGGGCGGAGGCGGCAAGCAUGCUUCCUGCUGCAGCUUUUUUGCGCCACAAAGUGCGCAAGCUCAGCACGGCCAGAUAUACCUCGACCGAGGCAUCAUCCGCGGAUUCUGCCUCCCGCGGACGAUGCUCGGUGGCCAACCAAGAGAAAACGAGGAACUGGAUCACCGCGGAAGGUUGCGUCGGCAUCGCUCAACCGGUAGCACGGCUCCAGGCCGUCCACGUUGCCAUCU
This 741-nucleotide unclassified non-coding RNA is filed under the name uncultured fungus. RNAcentral's name for it is "sequence contains 18S rRNA gene, ITS1, 5.8S rRNA gene, ITS2, 28S rRNA gene". Lineage: Eukaryota; Fungi. The record is from RNAcentral.